RNAcentral lists this long non-coding RNA (921 nucleotides) under Nicotiana tabacum (common tobacco). Its description in RNAcentral is "long non-coding RNA (NTAB_LNC015745)". Lineage: Eukaryota; Viridiplantae; Streptophyta; Magnoliopsida; Solanales; Solanaceae. The record is from RNAcentral.
CUGAGGCAAUUAAUACGUCAUAAAAGAAACGAAGUGUAGGGAGAAUCAUUAACAUUCCCAAACAUAGAGAGUUAUCCUCGCAUACCUUAACUUCUUGCUCUUGAGCAUAAUACAACAUUCGCCAACCCUUUUAACUUUAAUCUAUAUCAAUACAAGUCAAAAGGAUUCCAAAUUAGCAACAAUAGUCAUGUUUUGGUCACUUAGGCAUUUUAUCAAACACUCGGUGGCAUAAAGCUUCAUAGCCCUUAUUAAUGGUGUCUCUACACCCAAUAACCCAUUAUCUUGCUCCUAGAUAAAUUCUAAAGUCUCAAAUGGUUAUAAUCAACAUUAUUCUUUAUCACUCAUAAGGUAAUCAACACCCAUAACCAAUAAUAACCAAUCAACAACCCAAACCUAUCACCAUUCAUGAUUUUCUAUCAAACUCAUUAACUCAUAUCUCAUGAAAUAGAGUCUAUAAUCAUUAAUUCAAUGAUAGAAUCAAUUAGAGGGUGAAGAUAUUACCUUUUUGACGUUCAAUCUUCUUGAAUUUGAGUUCUAGGGUUUCUUCUCUCAAUAAUGGUGUCCCAAUCGAAUAUCUAAUGAUAUGGAUGGUUUACCCAUGUUAAUAAGAUGUUGGGAAAUUGAAAUUAACUUAGAAUCACCAUUAGAACUUACCUUGGGUGGUGGAGGGACCCUUAAGGAGUUAGGUUUUUGAGAGUUUUCCUUUCUAGAGCAAGUUUUUAUGUUUUGGGGCUGUGGGGGACGAAAUAUGGAUAAAACAAUGACUUCCCAAGUCGGACACCGCAUCCCAGUAGGCCUGACCGCAGUAAAUUGCUGGAGCACUGCCUCACGACUGCGGUCACGGUCAAAUGCGGCCGAACGCUGUGGUUACACACUAUUCUGUAAAACGAGCAUAACAUUUUGCACAGAUCUCCGCUUGGG